This 253-nucleotide ribosomal RNA is filed under the name uncultured bacterium. RNAcentral's name for it is "partial 16S ribosomal RNA". It matches the Rfam family "Bacterial small subunit ribosomal RNA", at positions 524 to 776 of the family's 1533-position model. The record is from RNAcentral.
AACGUAGGAGACAAACGUUAUCCGGAGUUACUGGGCGUAAAGGGCGUGUAGGUGGUUUCGUAAGUCUGGCGUGAAAUAUCUCGGCUUAACCGAGGCAGGUCGUCGGAUACUGCGGGACUAGAGGACGGUAGAGGCGUGUGGAAUUCCGGGUGCAGUGGUGAAAUGCGUAGAGAUCCGGAGGAACACCAGUGGCGAAGGCGACACGCUGGGCCGUACCUGACACUGAUGCGCGACAGCAUGGGGAGCAAACAGG